AACGCACAUUGCGCCCUCUGGUAUUCCGGGGGGCAUGCCUGUCCGAGCGUCAUUGCAACCCUCAAGCCAGGCUUGUGUGAUGGGGGCUCGUCCCGCCUCAGGGCGCGGACGCCCCCCAAAGGCAGUGGCCGCCGCACGCCGCGAAUACCGACGCCUGGGCGAAUGGGAACACCAACGCCUCAGGGUACGGCCGGCUGCGCGCCUCGUACCAACCAUCUUCCACGGUUGACCUCGGAUCAGGUAGGGAUACCCGCUGAACUUAA
Molecule: unclassified non-coding RNA, 263 nt
Filed under: uncultured fungus
Lineage: Eukaryota; Fungi
Description: partial contains 5.8S ribosomal RNA, internal transcribed spacer 2, and large subunit ribosomal RNA
Source: RNAcentral